AUUGAUAAAAACCUAUCAUGGUCAAUUCAAAUUGAUAAAAUAUGCGAAACUAUUUCAACCAGAAUAUAUUUGUUAAAAAGGUUGAAACGUUAUUUACCAUUAAAGGGUCUUAAUCUUUUUUACAAUAGCUAUAUAUUACCCAUUAUUGACUACUGUUGUACAGUAUGGGGUGUUACCACACACAUUAAUCUGGAGAGGAUACAUAAGCUCCAAAAACGUGCUGCAAGAUUAGUUUUAUCUGUUUCUUUUGAUUUUCCAUCAACAGUAAUGUUUAAAAAAAUUGCAUGGAUGACUAUAUUUACGAGGAUACACUAUUUUCAAGCUGUGUUAAUGUUUAAGUGUAUGAAUGGUCUAGCACCUGAUUAUCUAUCUAUUAAAUUUACUGCUUGUGCUGAUCUUUAUAAUUAUUGUCUGAGGUCGACAACAUCAGGACUUCUCCAUGUACCAAG
This 449-nucleotide long non-coding RNA is filed under the name Mytilus galloprovincialis (Mediterranean mussel). Lineage: Eukaryota; Metazoa; Mollusca; Bivalvia; Mytilida; Mytilidae. The record is from RNAcentral.